CAGCCGCCGCGGGAAUACGAAGGGGGCUAGCGUUGUUCGGAAUUACUGGGCGUAAAGGGCGCGUAGGCGGCCAUUCAAGUUAGAUGCGAAAGCCCUGGGCUCAACCUAGGAAUUGCAUUUGAUACUGUUUGGCUUGAGUUCGGGAGAGGUGAGUGGAAUUCCCAGUGUAGAGGUGAAAUUCGUAGAUAUUGGGAAGAACACCAGUGGCGAAGGCGGCUCACUGGACCGACACUGACGCUGAGGUGCGAAAGCGUGGGGAGCAAACAGGAUUAGAUACCCCUGUAGUCCCUGUCUCUUAUAC
RNAcentral lists this ribosomal RNA (301 nucleotides) under uncultured bacterium. Its description in RNAcentral is "partial 16S ribosomal RNA". It matches the Rfam family "Bacterial small subunit ribosomal RNA", at positions 509 to 807 of the family's 1533-position model. The record is from RNAcentral.